UACGUAUGGGGCAAGCGUUAUCCGGAUUUACUGGGUGUAAAGGGAGUGUAGGCGGUACGGCAAGUCAGAAGUGAAAGCCUGGGGCUCAACCCCGGAAUUGCUUUUGAAACUGUCGAACUAGAGUGUCGGAGGGGUAAGCGGAAUUCCUAGUGUAGCGGUGAAAUGCGUAGAUAUUAGGAGGAACACCAGUGGCGAAGGCGGUUUACUGGACGACUACUGACGCUGAGGCUCGAAAGCGUGGGGAG
This 245-nucleotide ribosomal RNA is filed under the name uncultured Lachnospiraceae bacterium. RNAcentral's name for it is "partial 16S ribosomal RNA". It matches the Rfam family "Bacterial small subunit ribosomal RNA", at positions 524 to 768 of the family's 1533-position model. The record is from RNAcentral. Lineage: Bacteria; Bacillati; Bacillota; Clostridia; Lachnospirales; Lachnospiraceae.